This 511-nucleotide ribosomal RNA is filed under the name uncultured bacterium. Its description in RNAcentral is "partial 16S ribosomal RNA". It matches the Rfam family "Bacterial small subunit ribosomal RNA", at positions 28 to 522 of the family's 1533-position model. The record is from RNAcentral.
GACGAACGCUGGCGGCGUGCCUAAUACAUGCAAGUCGAGCGAACGGAGGAGAGCUUGCUCUCCGAAGUUAGCGGCGGACGGGUGAGUAACACGUGGGCAACCUGCCUAUAAGACUGGGAUAACUUCGGGAAACCGGAGCUAAUACCGGAUAGAUUCUUUCCUCUCAUGAGGAAAGAAGGAAAGAUGGUUUCGGCUAUCACUUAUAGAUGGGCCCGCGGCGCAUUAGCUAGUUGGUAAGGUAACGGCUUACCAAGGCGACGAUGCGUAGCCGACCUGUGAGGGUGAUCGGCCACACUGGGACUGAGACACGGCCCAGACUCCUACGGGAGGCAGCAGUAGGGAAUCUUCCGCAAUGGACGAAAGUCUGACGGAGCAACGCCGCGUGAACGAUGAGGGCCUUCGGGUCGUAAAGUUCUGUUGUUAGGGAAGAACAAGUAUGAGAGUAACUGCUCGUACCUUGACGGUACCUAACCAGAAAGCCACGGCUAACUACGUGCCAGCCGCCGCGUAA